RNAcentral lists this ribosomal RNA (499 nucleotides) under uncultured bacterium. Its description in RNAcentral is "bacterial SSU rRNA". It matches the Rfam family "Bacterial small subunit ribosomal RNA", at positions 24 to 518 of the family's 1533-position model. The record is from RNAcentral.
UCAGGAUGAACGCUGGCGGCGUGCCUAACACAUGCAAGUCGAACGAAGCACUUUGAUCGGAGAUUCGUCGAAGAUUGGAUUGACUUAGUGGCGGACGGGUGAGUAAUGUAUGAGCAACCUGCCUUUCAGAGUGGGACAACAGUUGGAAACGACUGCUAAUACCGCAUAAUGUAUUGAGACGGCAUCGUCAUGAUACCAAAGGAGCAAUCCGCUGAAAGAUGGGCUCAUAUCUGAUUAGUUAGUUGGCAGGGUAACGGCCUACCAAGACUGCGAUCAGUAGCCGGACUGAGAGGUUGAACGGCCACAUUGGGACUGAGAUACGGCCCAGACUCCUACGGGAGGCAGCAGUGGGGAAUAUUGGGCAAUGGGCGAAAAAGCCUGACCCAGCAACGCCGCGUGAAGGAAGAAGGUCUUCGGAUUGUAAACUUCUUUUAUGAGGGACGAAGGACGUGACGGUACCUCAUGAAUAAGCCACGGCUAACUACGUGCCAGCCGCCGC